AGAGUUUGAUCAUGGCUCAGAACGAACGCUGGCGGCAGGCUUAACACAUGCAAGUCGAACGCACCGCAAGGUGAGUGGCAGACGGGUGAGUAACGCGUGGGAACCUUCCUUUCGAUACGGAACAACUCAGGGAAACUUGAGCUAAUACCGUAUACGCCCUUCGGGGGAAAGAUUUAUCGUCGAAAGAUGGGCCCGCGUAGGAUUAGCUAGUUGGUGAGGUAAUGGCUCACCAAGGCUACGAUCCUUAGCUGGUCUGAGAGGAUGAUCAGCCACACUGGGACUGAGACACGGCCCAGACUCCUACGGGAGGCAGCAGUGGGGAAUAUUGGACAAUGGGCGAAAGCCUGAUCCAGCCAUGCCGCGUGAGUGAAGAAGGCCUUAGGGUUGUAAAGCUCUUUUACCCGGGAAGAUAAUGACUGUACCGGGAGAAUAAGCCCCGGCUAACUUCGUGCCAGCCGCCGCGGUAAUAC
RNAcentral lists this ribosomal RNA (470 nucleotides) under uncultured bacterium. Its description in RNAcentral is "bacterial SSU rRNA". It matches the Rfam family "Bacterial small subunit ribosomal RNA", at positions 8 to 526 of the family's 1533-position model. The record is from RNAcentral.